Molecule: long non-coding RNA, 2772 nt
Filed under: Marmota monax (woodchuck)
Lineage: Eukaryota; Metazoa; Chordata; Mammalia; Rodentia; Sciuridae
Source: RNAcentral
GCAAAAUUAGAUAGUGCUAAUACCACACCUCUCUUUGGAGAUUGUGAGAAUGUUAUUUGGCAAUAACAAAAUGUUCUUAUCAGAUAGACUUCCUGCCUCUGCUGGCCAGCCCUGCAGACCCCUGGUUAACCUCAGAAUGAACUUUUCUUCAACUCUCACACUGUGUGGUCUGAUAAACAAGAAAGGCAACUUUUGACAGAGCCACUUUGGUGACAAGGUACAAAUGUAGGAGGUGAAUGAAUUGAUCCCUUCCUUAUUUUAAAUCAUAAGAUACAGAACUCCCUGGGAUUUUUCAGAGAAAUAUUUCCAAUCAGGCCUUAAAACCAGGUUCUUUACAAUUCCAAUAGCUGGUAGGGCCUUAGCUAGGUGGAGGUAUGGGAUAGAUACUUGAAUCAAUUUCCCUAUUCUUGGAAUAAAGACUUCAUACAGGUACAUUUUUUUUCCUCUUUAUUGGCCUUAACAAGCUGUUAAGUACUUUAGUUUUAAUUCUUUGGGAUUUCUUUUGCUAUUAUCAGAAAAAACUUCAAAUAGUUUGUUUAACCUUUUCUUUUCUUAAAAUGUUGGUGGUUGAAGAUGUGGAUAUUUUUGAGCUCUGAGAUACUGGUUUUCAUUUCUAACCUAGUCGUUCUUUUUAUAUGGAAUAUUUCCCAAAAGUGUUUAGCAGAAUGAUUGUUACACAAGCACACAUCAUGUGGUCAGAUGACUUUGGAGUUCUGGGUUAAAUGAGAACAGUUCUUUCUUAAGGAUAUCUCAAAGGCUUGGAUACAUUAUAUGUAGUGUUAUUCUUUCAGAGGAGGUUCUGGUAUUUUUUCUAAAUAAAUCUGGGGUGCAUCCUGAGGUACUUGUUCUAUGAACCACUCUAUGGAUCAUAGCCCUUUGGCAUGGAACUGCUCUGGUGUUUACUUUCUAUGUGUUUUCAUCUUGAGACCUUGACUAAGACCUGGAUUAGGGACUUCUAAACCUGGGGUUGUGAAUCAUUAGACUAUCAAUGUAAUAAGUUAAGAUCAAAAUUAAAAAAUGAAACAGAAUACUACAAAAUAGAAUAUGAUAGUAUAAAUUGAAUGGAAAAAAUAGAAAAAUAGGUGUUGGUUUGUGAAAUUUUUGUUAGAGAUAUGCACUAAAUUUACCUAUCUAGAUAUAGGAUUGCUGCAUAUAAUGUAAUUUUGACUGUGAGUAAUGGUCAAAGAGGAAAAAAAGCUAUUCUAGAUUAUAGUCAUAUCUUUACUAAGCCUCACAGUGUUAACCACAGUCAUGAUUCUGUAGGGGGUAAUUUUAGUUAAAGAGGCCUCACCCAUAUGACUACAGGAGAAAGAUAACUUAUAAUUAUUCCUACCUCCAAAAUAAUUGUAACUCCUAAGCUUUCAAACAGGAGUAGUCAGUUUCUAGCUUCCGUGUGAGAACUGGUCUUUGAUUUGGUUUCUGAAGUCCAUAGCAAAUGUGCCAAUAUGUGGUCUCAUUUAUGACCACAACAACAUGAAAAAAAAACAAAACAAAAACAACAUUUCAAGGCUUCUAGUGACAGUAUUCUUGGAACUUGGGAGGUAAUCGCUAAAAGUGGUUCUUUGUCUGAGAUACAGAUGGCAUUUCCCAACUAUACAGUAAGUAGAUUGAUGUAAUUACUGUGAGUUCAACCUGGAUUAUCCAGGUGAACCCUAAGUCCAAUGAAGAGUGUUCUUAUAAGAGAAUCAGAGGACAAACACACAGAAGAGGAACUAUGUGAACUCAGAGACAGAGAUUGGAGUGAUGUGGCCACAAAACAAGGAUUGCCAACAGCUGCCAGACACCAGGAGUGCCAAGGCACAGAAGCCAUACCCCAGUCCCCUGAGGGAGUGCAGCCUGCUGACCCCUGCAUGUUAGACUUCCCAUCUCCAGACUGAGAGGAUCAUCUUCCCUUGUUCUCAGCCAUACAGUUUGUGGUCAUUUGCUAUGGUAGCCCCAGGAUAUUGAUAUGGGGGAGGAGCACCUAGAGGAGAAUGCUUGUCAAAACCUCAGACACCUGGAGCUGCUUCUGAGUCAGAUCUGGCUGGUGUUUCCCAGGAGCCAGCUCUGAGUGGUGGAAUGGGGAGGCCUUUUACCCCUGGAUGGAAUGUAUGGCCCCACAUGAGGUUGCUUACAGUCUUUGACAACAUCCCUGGACACAUAGAAUAUGAGAAUAUGAACUGUUCUUGUUCUCCCAGGUCACAGAGGCAGAGUGCUGCACCUGGCCUUGAGUCCAGACCAGACCCAGGUGUUUUCUGCUGCAGCUGAUGGGAUGGCCACCGUGUGGAAGUGCUGCCAGUCACCCAACCCUUCCUAGAUGCAGUUUCUUCCUUUUAAGUGAGAGUAGUGAUACUGGUUUUUGUUCUCCACGUGAUUGUUAUGAGUAUCCAACAUGAUGAGGGCUCUUUCCAGUGUGAACGCCUGCUCCUCUGACCUUCUCUCUCAGGCUACUUUAUUAGCCCUGCUUCUUUCUUUGCAUCUCCUAGAGAUCAUCUCUCUGCUUCUCUCUGCUUCCCUCUCCCUCCUUCCUUCUCUUCCCUCCUCCCAGACUUCCUCCUUCUCUGCCUUCUCUUUAUCUCUUCCUUUUUAAAGAUCUAUUUUCACUGCUGAAGUCAGAAUAAUAUAUAUAGCAAACCUUGGUUCUUUCCCAUCCGACUUUUCCCUUAAGUUCCAAAUUCAUAUUUCUUAGUGCUUCAGAUAUUUCCUUUUUGAAAGAGUUAAAUCUUUAGCUCAAACUCAACCCAUUCACUUGAAAAAUUCUUAUUAAAAUCCUCCUACAUGCUGUGUGUUAUA